This 468-nucleotide ribosomal RNA is filed under the name uncultured bacterium. RNAcentral's name for it is "partial 16S ribosomal RNA". It matches the Rfam family "Bacterial small subunit ribosomal RNA", at positions 28 to 507 of the family's 1533-position model. The record is from RNAcentral.
GACGAACGCUGGCGGCGUGCUUAACACAUGCAAGUCGAACGGAAAGGCCCUGCUUUUGUGGGGUGCUCGAGUGGCGAACGGGUGAGUAACACGUUAGUAACCUGCCCUUUACUUUUGGAUAACUUCAGGAAACUGGGGCUAAUACCGGAUAGGAGCUCCUGCUGCAUGGUGGGGGUUGGAAAGUUUCGGCGGUUGGGGAUGGACUCGCGGCUUAUCAGCUUGUUGGUGGGGUAGUGGCUUACCAAGGCUUUGACGGGUAGCCGGCCUGAGAGGGUGACCGGCCACAUUGGGACUGAGAUACGGCCCAGACUCCUACGGGAGGCAGCAGUGGGGAAUAUUGCACAAUGGGCGGAAGCCUGAUGCAGCAACGCCGCGUGCGGGAUGACGGCCUUCGGGUUGUAAACCGCUUUCGCCUGUGACGAAGCGUGAGUGACGGUAAUGGGUAAAGAAGCACCGGCUAACUACGUG